AGAAACAUCAUCCCGUGUAUGUGGUUGGUGGGUAAAGAAUGGGUCUUUCCUGUGACGUUCUCCUGUAUGAUUUUUGCGUUGUAGGCCACUGACUUCUGAAGGCGAUUUAACAGCAGUUUGUCUUUACAAAACUAUAGUCAUACGUACCUAUAAGUUAUUCCCCCACCGGCCAUUGCACCUACUGUUGAUUUAGUAAACAUUUAUGGGAUGCUUUACAUAUGUCAAGCACUUCCCUGUGACAUGAGGAAUAAAUUGAAGCCAAUUCUCGUUCUCUGGAAGCAGUCACAGUUCAGUGGAGGAAACAAAGAAUUGACGUGCAACAGGACCGGCUGGAAAAACCUUUGAAGGAUAGAGGAAAAUUUUUCUUCACCAGCACUUUUGGUGAGCUAGCGAGACCUCACUGGCUGGGCACUGCUCAUUCUGAAGCUGUUGCAGUAGAAAGAUCCUGGGACUUCUGAUAGAAUUGCAAAAGGAACUCAAUGAUGUGGAAUUUCUACCAAGGUUCAUGUCAGAAGCCCUCAUUGCCAUAUCCAAGACUCUUCAACUCCAAAACAGUAUGUUCCAUGGAGCUUCUUAAUAUCUUGCUUGUGGGUAUCUCUGAUCAUAGUAGUGGGAUGAGGUUCACCUUGGGUCUGACCUAUGAUUUGCUCUUUGUUGUGCUCUCAAAUGCUAAAUUAAUUUUGUCUCCUAGGAAAUUAGAUCUCUUUUAAGGAUCAUGUGAUUAUGUGACCAGAUGUGAAAUAUGAGAUCUGUUCUUCAAGUCAGUCCUAGGGACCUGGGGAAUUCAGGUUUCUCCUUAGAAUGGCAUCCUUUGGAUGCAUUUUGUCUUUGUCACUUAUCAAAAACCUGAUGAAAACUGUUCCUAUGCUUGUCUUAUUUUGUCCAUGAGAGUCUAGUUCUAGACCGGAGUAGACUAGACCAAACCUGUCAUCUGCUGGGAAAUGCAUAUUUCUCAGGUUGUAAUGGUAAGCAGCCCAACAUUUCGGUUGAGGAGACACAAGGUAUGAGAUGUGCAAGCAAUAUGUUCAACUGUUUUUUGCCUAGAAUAUGACCUCUUUUCAGAGGUAAAAUCAGCCCUGACAGCAGAACUUAAUCACACUCACCAAAGCUUGACAGUUACCAAGUGAUAAUCAUAG
Molecule: long non-coding RNA, 1136 nt
Organism: Mirounga angustirostris (Northern elephant seal)
Lineage: Eukaryota; Metazoa; Chordata; Mammalia; Carnivora; Phocidae
Exons: 3
Source: RefSeq, a predicted model, not a curated record